AUACCACGAAUCCCUAACCCUUUCUCUGCCUCUAAUCAAAGUCUCCCGUCUUCGCGAAGCAUCGUGGAUGUUGUAGUCCACGCCAUGUUUACAUUCUAGCGGGGGCAGGCGCAGCCACAACAAGCGUGGGAGGCGACAGGUCGAGACGACAGCGACAGGUGGCAGUUGUGUGUUGGGGGAGAGGUGGUGGCUGAAAUAGGUAAAGGGUUUCCUAACCCUUGUUGUAAGUUGGGGGAUAUCAUUCCUGUGGACCUCAUCUUUUGUUCCUUUUUUCUCCCCUUGGGAUUUCAGGACCCCUGAGUCCGCCAUAAAGGCGGAGCUUGAAGCCCCCGAGUUGGAGGGAGCGAUGCUGCCCCUCCUCCGGUGGUGAUGUCACUACCCCUUCAGCAGCUUCUUGCUGCCUAGAGCUGCUGGGGCUGGGUCACCCUUCCCCCGUCGCCAGCCCCGGAUUCCCCCAUCCCCGCCUCGCCUCGACUUGGGGUGAGUACGGGGGAGGGGGCGGAGGCUCAGGUCCGAAGGCGGUAAGACAGCCCAAGUGCCAGUUUGGAAGGUAGGGGACUUGGAAGACCCGGAAUCAAAGAUUACAGCGGAGGGAUCCCCUUUGAUUCUGAGCUUUGGGGCCAGGGUACUUGAAGGGUCUGGGAGGACCAAGGAUCUUAGGCAUGGAGUCCCUUUAUUUUCAGCGUUAGUGAGACUCUCUUUCGUGGAUUUGGAAGUGAUGGGAAUGGAGAUGCGGGAACAAGAAGAGUCCUAGAAGUCAGGGAGGAGACGACCCAUCCUCAAUUUUCGGGUCCUUGGGGAAUGGGGGAGGGAGUGUACAGGGUGAGGAGGUGGGAGUUUGGAGCUUUCGGAAAUUUUGUGAUUAGAGUGUCAGGGAAACAAUGCUUUGGAGAGGAGCUGGGUGGGAAAAGGUCUGAAGAAGUGGACAGAUAGCCUCUCCCCUCCUGAGUCCAUUGCCAAACAAGGAAUCUGUUUUCCUGUGGUCUGUGAGUAUAGCUGGGCGUUUCCGAGUCCCAUCUUGUCUCCAGAAUGCCCUUUCUCUCUAAUGGAUGGGUGAGACUCCAGGUUCACAACCCCCCCCAUACCCAGAUGAGGUCUAGAGAGGGCAAAGAGUGAGUGACAGCAUCCAAAUUUCCUAUGACUGAGGGAGUCUGAACCAUUCUGUUACUCCUGGCUGCUGCCCCCAUCCCCAGCCUCUAAUCCCAAAUCUCAUCCCAUAUUCUCCCCCUUUCCCAGCUCCUUCUCAUCAACAACACCGACCUUCUUCCACACUUCUGACCUCUGGGGGGGGGGAACCCAAGAAAUGAAACAAAACACAAACAAAAAAAAAUGCUGAGUUAGUAACUUGAUUCUGGGCCUAACUGCUGUCAAAAGCAGAAAGUAGCGGUGGGGGUGGGGUAUAAAAGGAUGGCUGACUUAGGUGCCCAACUCAGUCCCAAUUCCCAGCCUCUAGCGCCUACCCGGCCCCUUCUCCCGCCUCCAUCAUCAUGCCCUACUGGCCUGGGAGCCUCAUUCAAUGCCCACUACAGGAUUCACUGCUUCUGCCUAGGAGCACACCAGAAUUCAGGGUAGAAAGAGGUAGGAAGUGAUGAUGUGUUUCCUCUGCCCAGGUGGGUGCCAUCAGAGGCUCAAGGGCUGUCCAGUAUCCACACUGGAUUGGAGGCUAUGGGAAAGCCCAGGGUCUGGGGAGGAAGAGAACUACCUCCUUGUCUGCAGGACAAACCCCACUUCUGUUAUUCUCUGCAAUGACGCAGCAUGAACCCUGGCCAGGAUGAGGGUUAGAGUGUGUGGAGGGGAGCUAUGAGAGAAAGGAAAUGAGAAAGGGGAGCCCCAGGAAGAGACAGACUCAGGAGGGAGUAAGAAAUGGGAGAGAGACCCAAGGAGGACUCAGAGAAAAAGCAGGAUUAGAGUGAGUCGCCAGAACAGACGGAAAGAGAAAGGGCAGAGACGAACAGGUGAAGGGGACACGCCAGGGGGCUGUCAGCAUCCUCUAGCUGCCCGGUGCCUGGCCUGAUGCCACCCUCUGCAGGUGCAGCAGCUGGUUGGUACCGCUCAUGAAUAGGGAGAGGGAAAGGAAAGGAGAAGGAGUCAGUUGGAGAAUAAGAGGAGGCACAGAGAUCCAGAAAGGGUAAAGACAGGCGAAGUGGGGUGGGGGACAGAGCCUAGGAAGGAGAGGAGAACUGACAUACGGAGCGGGAUAGAGAUCAUGAAGUGACAGAGACUCAAAGAAGGACCCAAAGACCCAAAGAGAGGAAGAGAGACCUAGAGUGGCACUCCCUGAUUGAAACGUAGAGACCAAGAGGAUGAGACUGGGGAAGGGGUACUAAGCCUUGGCCAAGGAAGGGAAGACAACUCUAGAGAAGAGGAACAAGUACUCAAAAGGAGAGGGACAAAUUCAGAGACCCAGGGGAAGGGCAGAGAAUUAGGAAAGAGGGACCAGAGACACAGACACAGGAGCGGAAUGGGGUGGAGAGGUUAUACCAACCAGCCGCUGCACCUGCAGCGGAGGCGGCGGGCCAGAGACCGCGCCGCCAGAGGAUGCCCGCAGCCCCCUGACCCGCCCCCUUCGCUCCUACAGGCACCUCCUCGCUCAGCACCCAGCCGCAGUCGUUGGCUCCGCCCCAGCCCCUGCGUCUGCGCACUGCCUCCAAGAGCCCAGGACCGCUCUGGGGGCGGGGCCCGACGCUUCAAGGAGGUCCGCCUUGUUCUGGCCCCGCCCCUAACUCUCCAUCUCGACCCUUUCCCCCUCUCCGCACCUCUCUGACAUCUACCUGGCACAAUUUCCCCUUGGUCCCAUCUGUUGCCUCAGUUUAGACGGUAAUCCUGACGCUUUGGCCUCUCUCCCUCCCCUUCUUUCUGCCUGCAUUCGUGCUCACUCCAGCCCUUAUCCAUUCCUUCAUCCUCCAAUCUGCUGUCUGUGGUAGUCUAAUCUUCAUAUCCUUUCCUCUACCAACUGGAAGUUUUCAUCCUGCCCCCUAAGGCCUCAAUGAUCCUUGGUCCUUGAGGAUCUCUUUACUCCAAGUACUCCAAGACUCUGCGUUCCAGGUCCCUCUCUUCUGUCCACCGCAGUAGCUUUCUACUCUGCAAGUCUCACUUUUCCUCCAGCGUCGCCCCACGUCCCUAUCCUCCAGCCUCUUACCACUGCCGUCCUCCUACCCUUUCAAUUUCCUUAAAGUUCCGCCCCUCCCUUAGUCUCACCUUCCUACAACCGGUUCAAGUUGUUUUAUACCACUCGUCGUCCCCACCUACUUUUUUGGGUCCCGUCCCAUCCUUCCGGACCCAGCCCCCUCAGCAUUCUGCCUAGGCUGCUCCCUUAGUCCUAUUCAGACGCUCUCAGGUUUUCAAGCCUCGCUUGUUUCACACCUUCUCACCGGGUCUCAAUCUCUCUUCCCUGUCCCCUUUCGGUUCAGCCGGUCCCAUUCCGCGAGAAAGGGGUCCAUCUCCGGUUCCCGCCCCUCGUUCAGUCCCGCCCGCUCACUGCCCCAGCCAAUCAGGACUGUCUUUGCUCUUUGCUGUCUUAGGCCUUACCCCAUCCAACCUAUGUUGGCCCAACACAGCCCUAUCUGCCCCUCCACUCCGGGUCCUCUCUGCCAAGGCUUUAGGUCCCGACGAGAGAUCUCUUUCUCUCCGGACCCUUCUCAGUCCAACUAGGUAGGCUUCUCGGAUUGUGAUCCUUCAGGCCAGUCUGGCUACCCAUUUUUUGGUUCUAUCAGGUCUCUUUCUUACAUCUUGCCCCGUUUCUUGUGCUGCUGAGCCAAGAAACGUUUGUUACCGGUCCCGCUUCCUUUGGUACUCCGCCCCUCCGUUUUGCUAUCUCGCAGAGGUCCAAUCGGUGAGCCUCAUUUGUGGCUCCCCCACAUCCAGCUAGGCAGUGGUAGAGUAUCAGCCCCUCUGCUCCGGGUCUUAGCCCCACCCAAGUCCCUCAGGCCAAUCAGGUCGGAUCCUCCCCCACUCUAAUGCCCCGUCCUUCCAUUCUAUCGCCUACUCCCAUCCAAUCGCGUCCGCCCCUGCCCCUUUCAGGCCCGCCUCCUUCAUCCAUCUUCUCCUCCCACCCAAUCACGUCUGUGUCUUCUCUGAGCCCCGCCCCUCUUGGCCCUGCCUCUCCCGCCCCGCCCCCAGUCCAAUGCUUAGCUCAGUCUGCGUCUCGUCCUUCCGCCGGCGCCAGGGGGCCAGCAAGCAGCAGCAGGCACCAGAGCCGCAGCCGCCUGAGUCCCCGCCGCCGCUGUCCCCGCCGCUGCCACCGCCGCCGCUGCCGCAGCAGCAGCAGCCUGCGCAGCCCGGCCCCGCCGCGUCCUCGGCGGGCCCCCCGGCACCCCGCUGGCCCGGGGGCCGGUGCGCCGAGCCAUGCCCCGGGCUGCCGGCGGCGGCCAUGGGGCGGCACGGCGGCGGCGGUGGCGACAGCGGCAAGAUCGUGAUCAACGUGGGCGGCGUGCGCCAUGAGACGUACCGUUCGACGCUGCGCACCCUGCCAGGGACGCGGCUGGCCGGCCUGACGGAGCCUGAGGCGGCUGCGCGCUUCGACUACGAUCCAGGUGCAGACGAGUUCUUCUUCGACCGACACCCGGGCGUCUUCGCCUACGUGCUCAACUACUACCGCACCGGCAAGCUGCACUGCCCGGCCGACGUGUGCGGGCCGCUCUUCGAAGAGGAGCUCGGCUUCUGGGGCAUCGACGAGACCGACGUAGAGGCCUGCUGCUGGAUGACCUACCGGCAGCAUCGCGACGCUGAGGAAGCGCUCGACUCCUUCGAGGCUCCCGACCCCUCGGGUGCCGCCAACGCCGGCAAUGCCGCAGGAGCCCACGACGCAGGCUUGGACGACGAGGCGGGCGCGGGCGGCGGUGGCCUGGACGGCGCUGGCGGCGAGCUCAAGCGCCUCUGCUUCCAAGACGCGGGCGGCGGCGCCGGGGGGCCGCCAGGGGGCGCGGGCGGCGCGGGCGGCACAUGGUGGCGCCGCUGGCAGCCCAGAGUGUGGGCACUCUUCGAGGACCCCUACUCAUCGCGGGCCGCCAGGUAUGUGGCCUUCGCCUCACUCUUCUUCAUCCUUAUCUCCAUCACCACCUUCUGCCUGGAGACCCAUGAGGGCUUCAUCCACAUCAGCAACAAGACGGUGACACAGGCCUCCCCAAUCCCAGGGGCUCCACCAGAGAACAUCACCAAUGUGGAGGUGGAGACGGAGCCCUUCCUGACCUAUGUGGAGGGGGUGUGCGUGGUCUGGUUCACCUUUGAGUUCCUCAUGCGCAUCACCUUCUGCCCGGACAAAGUGGAGUUCCUCAAAAGCAGCCUCAACAUCAUUGACUGUGUUGCCAUCCUGCCCUUCUACCUGGAGGUGGGCCUCUCGGGCCUGAGCUCCAAGGCCGCCAAGGAUGUACUGGGCUUCCUGCGUGUCGUCCGCUUUGUCCGCAUCCUGCGUAUCUUCAAGCUGACCCGACACUUUGUGGGGCUGCGUGUGCUGGGCCACACGCUCCGUGCCAGCACCAAUGAGUUCCUGCUGCUCAUCAUCUUCCUGGCUCUGGGGGUGCUCAUCUUUGCCACCAUGAUUUACUACGCAGAGCGCAUUGGCGCUGAUCCUGAUGACAUCCUGGGCUCCAACCACACCUAUUUUAAGAACAUCCCCAUUGGCUUCUGGUGGGCCGUGGUCACCAUGACAACCCUGGGCUACGGAGACAUGUACCCUAAGACAUGGUCGGGGAUGCUUGUUGGGGCACUGUGUGCCCUGGCGGGCGUGCUGACCAUUGCCAUGCCCGUGCCCGUCAUUGUCAACAACUUUGGCAUGUACUAUUCACUGGCUAUGGCCAAACAGAAGCUACCCAAGAAGAAGAACAAACAUAUCCCCCGACCCCCGCAGCCCGGCUCUCCCAACUACUGCAAGCCUGACCCACCCCCACCACCCCCACCCCACCCUCAUCAUGGAAGCGGUGGCAUCAGCCCCCCACCACCCAUCACCCCACCUUCUGUGGGGGUGACUGUGGCUGGGGCCUACCCUCCAGGGCCACACACACACCCUGGGCUGCUCAGGGGGGGCGCAGGGGGGCUGGGGAUUAUGGGGCUGCCUCCUCUGCCGGCCCCUGGGGAGCCCUGCCCGCUGGCUCAGGAGGAGGUGGUUGAAAUCAACAGGGCAGACCCCCGCCCCAAUGGGGAUCCAGCUGCAGCUGCACUGGCCCACGAGGACUGCCCUGCCAUUGACCAGCCUGCCAUGUCUCCGGAGGACAAGAGUCCCAUUACACCAGGAAGCCGGGGCCGCUACAGCCGGGACCGAGCCUGCUUCCUCCUCACUGACUAUGCCCCCUCCCCUGAUGGCUCCAUUCGAAAAGCCACUGGUGCUCCCCCACUGCCCCCCCAAGACUGGCGUAAGCCAGGCCCCCCAAGCUUCUUGCCCGACCUCAACGCCAACGCUGCGGCCUGGAUAUCCCCCUAGUGGAUGAACCCCCUUCCCCCCGGGCUCUUGUCACCGCCUGAGACCUCGUGAGACCCUCGGGUCCCCCCUGCCCCUUCCCCCCAGUCAGGACUCCCGCCUUCAGACAGCGCCCCCGGGCUCUGCCUAGAAAAGCCGUGGAACUCCCCCCAGACCCGGCAGAACCGAAGAUGGACCACGCUUUCAGAAACCACACACCCUGCUCCUGGAUCUUGGGUCCCGUGAGCCGAACCCCUAGCGCCCUCCCUCACCCACAGAAGCCCAUUUCCUUCAGACUUCGGGAUGCUUCAAAUCCUGUCACAACUGACACUGCCUGGCCCUUCCUGGACCCUUGACCACGCCCCAGGGAUUAGCCUUGCCCCCGCCCACUGCCCUCGGAGUUCUCUCACUCCCAAGGGCACCACCAGCUUUGGCUCCUUCAGCCCCUCACAGCCCUGCCCGCCUGGCCCCCUUUCCCUACACUAGGUGGCUCCGAACCGGAUCUGCGCCCCCACCCAGCCCGUUUUCCUCCACACCCUCUCCACCGGCUGCUCCCCGACAUGCAUUCCGCCCGGCCCUCCCCACGCCCCUGCCGCCACCAUCCCGCCUUGCUGUCCCCCCGCCUUUUGGCCUCAGAUGAGGAGUCUUUGGGGGAGGGAGGGACGGGCUGGUAAGGGGUGGGCGGAGUGGGGGGGAGGCUCGGUGGCGCCACCGCCUCCUAAUCCUGAGUCUCUCCCCCUCCCUGUGUCUGAACCUUUCUUGUGGAUGCUGACUGACGCUCCAAUUUGUUCACUUUCUCUCUCUCUCUCUCUCUCUCUCUCUCUCUCUCUCUCUCUCUCUCUCUCUCUCUCUCUCUCUCUCUCUCUCUCUCCUUGGUCCAUCUCUGUCUCUUGCCAUCCGUCUUUUUGUGUCUCCAUGUUUGCCUCCCUGUCGUCCUGUCUCUUAUUUCUGUUUUUCACCGUCUGUCUCUGGCCGUCUCUGUUUCUCUGGGUAUCUUCUGCUUUCUCCAUCCCUUUCUCUCUUUCUCUCUCCCUGUCUGGGGUCUCUCUGUGGGACCCUCCCUGCACUCCCAUCCCCAUGCUUCCUCCCGGUGUUUCUGCCCUUCCCCCCACCCAGGUUACGAGAAAUCCCGCAGCCUGAGCAGCAUCGCGGGCCUGAGCGGGGUGUCUCUACGCCUCGCGCCCCUUGCCACCCCUCCUGGCUCUCCCCGGGCCGCCCGCCGCGCUCCCCCAACCCUGCCCUCCAUCCUUUAGC
This is an RNA transcript of Sciurus carolinensis (gray squirrel), 7645 nucleotides long. It is a transcript of the gene named potassium voltage-gated channel subfamily C member 3, with no coding region annotated. NCBI's taxonomy places the organism in Eukaryota, Metazoa, Chordata, Mammalia, Rodentia, Sciuridae. The record is from RefSeq and is a predicted model, not a curated record. The transcript is spliced from 6 exons.